This 292-nucleotide ribosomal RNA is filed under the name uncultured bacterium. Its description in RNAcentral is "partial 16S ribosomal RNA". It matches the Rfam family "Bacterial small subunit ribosomal RNA", at positions 505 to 796 of the family's 1533-position model. The record is from RNAcentral.
GUGCCAGCCGCCGCGGUAAUACAGAGGGUGCGAGCGUUAAUCGGAAUUACUGGGCGUAAAGCGCACGUAGGCGGCUUUGUAAGUCGGAUGUGAAAUCCCCGGGCUCAACCUGGGAACUGCACCCGAAACUACAUUGCUAGAGUAUGGGAGAGGGAGGCGGAAUUUCCGGUGUAGCAGUGAAAUGCGUAGAUAUCGGAAGGAACAUCAGUGGCGAAGGCGGCCUCCUGGACCAAUACUGACGCUCAGGUGCGAAAGCGUGGGGAGCAAACAGGAUUAGAUACCCCCGUAGUCC